CUGGUUGAUCCUGCCAGUAGUCAUAUGCUUGUCUCAAAGAUUAAGCCAUGCAUGUCUAAGUCCAAGCUGUGUUCACACGGCGAGACCGCGGACGGCUCAUUAAAUCAGUCGUGGUCCAAAUGGGCCAGUGCAAAUCCUACUUGGAUAACUGUGGUAAUUCCAGAGCUAAUACAUGCAACUGAUAUCCCGAAGGCUGGUGCUUGCUUGUCUUGCGCUUCGCUCCGACGGAUGCUUUUAUUAGACCAAGCCGCUGAGGACUUGAGGGUGUUAAAACCUUCCUGUUCGACUCGUGUGAUGGUGACUCUGGAUAACCAAUUCUGACAAGCGCACGUACUCCUCUUCUGAGCGAGACGGCGCUGCCACUUUCGAGUGUCUGCCUUAUCAGCUAUCAACCGUUCGUUAUGCGCGACCGAUGGCUUUGACGGGUAACGGGGAAUCAGGGUUCGAUUCCGGAGAGGCAGCCUGAGAGACGGCUACCACGUCCAAGGACGGCAGCAGGCACGCAAAUUACCCAAUCCCAGCAAAUGGGGGAGGUAGUGACGAAAUCUAACGAUGCGGGCGCCCUUUCUGGGGCCCCGCAAUCGGAAUGGGCACUUUCUAAAACACCUUGUUGAGAACCUACUGAAGGGCAAGUCUGGUGCCAGCAGCCGCGGUAAUUCCAGCUUCAGCAGCAUCUAUUAA
This 681-nucleotide ribosomal RNA is filed under the name Chaetogammarus marinus. Its description in RNAcentral is "bacterial SSU rRNA". It matches the Rfam family "Eukaryotic small subunit ribosomal RNA", at positions 4 to 607 of the family's 1831-position model. Lineage: Eukaryota; Metazoa; Arthropoda; Malacostraca; Amphipoda; Gammaridae. The record is from RNAcentral.